RNAcentral lists this ribosomal RNA (420 nucleotides) under Dechacona missionum. RNAcentral's name for it is "partial large subunit ribosomal RNA". Lineage: Eukaryota; Metazoa; Arthropoda; Insecta; Hemiptera; Cicadellidae. The record is from RNAcentral.
AGUUAAAUGGCUGCAGUAUUCUGACUGUGCNNAGGUAGCNUNAUAAUUAGUCUUUUAAUUGAAGGCUGGAAUGAAUGAGUAUAUGAGGGAUUUGUUUUAUUUCUUAUAUUGUUAUAAUUUGAUUUUUAAGUAAAAAAGCUUAAUUUUAUUUUUGGGACGAUAAGACCCUAUAGAACUUUAUUUUUAUUUAAAUUUUCUUAAUAUUUAGUUUUUUUUGUUAUUAAUUUAAAUUAAUUUUUUACUGGGGAGGUAAAUAAAUUUGACUUUAUUUUUAUACUUCAUUUAUUUAUGUUUUAGAGAUCCAUAUAUGAUUAUAAGAUUAAGUUACCUUAGGGAUAACAGCGUAAUUUCAAUGGGGAGUUCAUAUUUAUAUUGAAGUUUGCGACCUCGAUGUUGAAUUAAGAUAAGAUUAAGGGGCAG